UGGACCAAUAUUGAUGACUGGUCACCAUUAUUAAUAAAUCCCAGAUAAUGAAUAAUAUGUGUUUGAAACUGAGAGGUCCAA
Otolemur garnettii (small-eared galago) is the source of this 81-nucleotide small nucleolar RNA. NCBI's taxonomy places the organism in Eukaryota, Metazoa, Chordata, Mammalia, Primates, Galagidae. The record is from Ensembl.